Molecule: non-coding RNA, 608 nt
Organism: Pogona vitticeps (central bearded dragon)
Lineage: Eukaryota; Metazoa; Chordata; Lepidosauria; Squamata; Agamidae
Source: RefSeq, a predicted model, not a curated record
UGCAGGUCCCCGCCAGCGGCUUCAGACUGCCCUCCCUUUGCAGGCCCACUCGGUUUCUUCCGAGAGCUGGAGAGCCUUGACAGAGAAGGGAAAAGGAAAGUAAUUACUGAAAUCCAUGGAACUAUAGUGACAGUUGGCAUUAAUAGGCCAGAAGUCAGGAGACAACACAGUUGCUGCUGCAGUCUUUCAGGUCAUGUGAAGAAGAUACCUCCCUUACAGUGGCAGUGCUUCGUGGACUGGAAAGCUCUAUGUGGAUGUUCAUUAAAUGAUGAGGCUGUUGAUGAGGGCAGCACCAGUUCCAGGAUUCUGAGAUUCCUGAGGUACAGCAUCCUCCUUGUCCAUACUUUCUUCCUAAGAAAACAAAGGACAUCAUUCAUGCUAAGUUUCUAAGAUCUUGGUUGGAGUUCGGAGGUUGGAAUCGUACUCAUCAUGCAAGUGACUAUGGUUUCUGCAUGUGAAUUACAUUUUAAUCCUUAAUUAAUUUGACUACUGUUAAUGGUUCCCAGAUCUUACAAAGCAUUAUUGUUCUCUAAUGCUUAUAGAAAAAAAGUCAAUGCAACCCGAAUAAAAUCAACCAACCAAACAAAAAGUGGCGACACCAAAAAACA